RNAcentral lists this ribosomal RNA (275 nucleotides) under uncultured bacterium. RNAcentral describes it as "partial 16S ribosomal RNA". It matches the Rfam family "Bacterial small subunit ribosomal RNA", at positions 523 to 796 of the family's 1533-position model. The record is from RNAcentral.
AUACAGAGGGUGCAAACGUUGUUCGGAAUUACUGGGCGUAAAGCGCUCGUAGGCGGCUUGUUAAGUCGGAUGUGAAAUCCCCGGGCUCAACCUGGGAACUGCAUUCGAUACUGGCAAGCUAGAGUAUAGUAGAGGCAAGUGGAAUUCCGGGUGUAGCGGUGAAAUGCGUAGAUAUCCGGAGGAACAUCAGUGGCGAAGGCGACUUGCUGGACUAAUACUGACGCUGAGGAGCGAAAGCGUGGGGAGCAAACGGGAUUAGAAACCCCCAGUAGUCC